AUGGAUCAAGCUAGCUAUUCAUAUACUGAGCAUGGAUAUGAUGUAGCAAUGGAUGGCAUGAAAAGAGUGUGUGAGGCAGCUUGGAAAUGGCUUAGUAAGAUUCCCAAACAUACAUGGGCUAGACAUGCCAUGGACAAUAAUUGUAAAACUGAUUUGGUUGUCAACGAUAUUAGUGAAGUAUUUAACAAGAUGAUACUUGAUGUCAGAGGCAAGCCAAUCAAAACUAUGGUUGAUGGGAUCAGAACUAAGUUGCUAGUUAAGUUCAAUGCCAAUUGGACUAAGACUGAGACAACCAAGUGGCAGAUAUGCCCAACAUAUGCUGAAAAACUGGAAGAAGCAAAACAUCAUUCAAGAUAUUGUCAAUCUAUCAAAGCCGGACCUGAUCUAUACGAAGUUACAAGUGGAGAAAGUGCAUAUGCACUUAAUUUGCAAGCACACAUGUGGUUGUAG
RNAcentral lists this ribosomal RNA (450 nucleotides) under Triticum aestivum (bread wheat). Its description in RNAcentral is "partial small subunit ribosomal RNA". Lineage: Eukaryota; Viridiplantae; Streptophyta; Magnoliopsida; Poales; Poaceae. The record is from RNAcentral.